Molecule: ribosomal RNA, 253 nt
Filed under: uncultured bacterium
Lineage: Bacteria
Description: partial 16S ribosomal RNA
Rfam family: Bacterial small subunit ribosomal RNA
Source: RNAcentral
UACAGAGGGGGCAAGCGUUGUUCGGAAUUACUGGGCGUAAAGGGCGCGUAGGCGGCCUGCUAAGUCGAACGUGAAAUCCCUGGGCUCAACCCAGGAACUGCGUCCGAUACUGGCAGGCUUGAAUCCGGGAGAGGGAUGUGGAAUUCCAGGUGUAGCGGUGAAAUGCGUAGAUAUCUGGAGGAACACCGGUGGCGAAGGCGGCAUCCUGGACCGGUAUUGACGCUGAUGCGCGAAAGCCAGGGGAGCAAACGGG